This 2903-nucleotide ribosomal RNA is filed under the name Escherichia coli. Its description in RNAcentral is "23S ribosomal RNA". It matches the Rfam family "Bacterial large subunit ribosomal RNA". The record is from RNAcentral. Lineage: Bacteria; Pseudomonadati; Pseudomonadota; Gammaproteobacteria; Enterobacterales; Enterobacteriaceae.
GGUUAAGCGACUAAGCGUACACGGUGGAUGCCCUGGCAGUCAGAGGCGAUGAAGGACGUGCUAAUCUGCGAUAAGCGUCGGUAAGGUGAUAUGAACCGUUAUAACCGGCGAUUUCCGAAUGGGGAAACCCAGUGUGAUUCGUCACACUAUCAUUAACUGAAUCCAUAGGUUAAUGAGGCGAACCGGGGGAACUGAAACAUCUAAGUACCCCGAGGAAAAGAAAUCAACCGAGAUUCCCCCAGUAGCGGCGAGCGAACGGGGAGCAGCCCAGAGCCUGAAUCAGUGUGUGUGUUAGUGGAAGCGUCUGGAAAGGCGCGCGAUACAGGGUGACAGCCCCGUACACAAAAAUGCACAUGCUGUGAGCUCGAUGAGUAGGGCGGGACACGUGGUAUCCUGUCUGAAUAUGGGGGGACCAUCCUCCAAGGCUAAAUACUCCUGACUGACCGAUAGUGAACCAGUACCGUGAGGGAAAGGCGAAAAGAACCCCGGCGAGGGGAGUGAAAAAGAACCUGAAACCGUGUACGUACAAGCAGUGGGAGCCUCUUUAUGGGGUGACUGCGUACCUUUUGUAUAAUGGGUCAGCGACUUAUAUUCUGUAGCAAGGUUAACCGAAUAGGGGAGCCGAAGGGAAACCGAGUCUUAACUGGGCGUUAAGUUGCAGGGUAUAGACCCGAAACCCGGUGAUCUAGCCAUGGGCAGGUUGAAGGUUGGGUAACACUAACUGGAGGACCGAACCGACUAAUGUUGAAAAAUUAGCGGAUGACUUGUGGCUGGGGGUGAAAGGCCAAUCAAACCGGGAGAUAGCUGGUUCUCCCCGAAAGCUAUUUAGGUAGCGCCUCGUGAAUUCAUCUCCGGGGGUAGAGCACUGUUUCGGCAAGGGGGUCAUCCCGACUUACCAACCCGAUGCAAACUGCGAAUACCGGAGAAUGUUAUCACGGGAGACACACGGCGGGUGCUAACGUCCGUCGUGAAGAGGGAAACAACCCAGACCGCCAGCUAAGGUCCCAAAGUCAUGGUUAAGUGGGAAACGAUGUGGGAAGGCCCAGACAGCCAGGAUGUUGGCUUAGAAGCAGCCAUCAUUUAAAGAAAGCGUAAUAGCUCACUGGUCGAGUCGGCCUGCGCGGAAGAUGUAACGGGGCUAAACCAUGCACCGAAGCUGCGGCAGCGACGCUGAUGCGUUGUUGGGUAGGGGAGCGUUCUGUAAGCCUGUGAAGGUGUGCUGUGAGGCAUGCUGGAGGUAUCAGAAGUGCGAAUGCUGACAUAAGUAACGAUAAAGCGGGUGAAAAGCCCGCUCGCCGGAAGACCAAGGGUUCCUGUCCAACGUUAAUCGGGGCAGGGUGAGUCGACCCCUAAGGCGAGGCCGAAAGGCGUAGUCGAUGGGAAACAGGUUAAUAUUCCUGUACUUGGUGUUACUGCGAAGGGGGGACGGAGAAGGCUAUGUUGGCCGGGCGACGGUUGUCCCGGUUUAAGCGUGUAGGCUGGUUUUCCAGGCAAAUCCGGAAAAUCAAGGCUGAGGCGUGAUGACGAGGCACUACGGUGCUGAAGCAACAAAUGCCCUGCUUCCAGGAAAAGCCUCUAAGCAUCAGGUAACAUCAAAUCGUACCCCAAACCGACACAGGUGGUCAGGUAGAGAAUACCAAGGCGCUUGAGAGAACUCGGGUGAAGGAACUAGGCAAAAUGGUGCCGUAACUUCGGGAGAAGGCACGCUGAUAUGUAGGUGAAGUCCCUCGCGGAUGGAGCUGAAAUCAGUCGAAGAUACCAGCUGGCUGCAACUGUUUAUUAAAAACACAGCACUGUGCAAACACGAAAGUGGACGUAUACGGUGUGACGCCUGCCCGGUGCCGGAAGGUUAAUUGAUGGGGUUAGCGCAAGCGAAGCUCUUGAUCGAAGCCCCGGUAAACGGCGGCCGUAACUAUAACGGUCCUAAGGUAGCGAAAUUCCUUGUCGGGUAAGUUCCGACCUGCACGAAUGGCGUAAUGAUGGCCAGGCUGUCUCCACCCGAGACUCAGUGAAAUUGAACUCGCUGUGAAGAUGCAGUGUACCCGCGGCAAGACGGAAAGACCCCGUGAACCUUUACUAUAGCUUGACACUGAACAUUGAGCCUUGAUGUGUAGGAUAGGUGGGAGGCUUUGAAGUGUGGACGCCAGUCUGCAUGGAGCCGACCUUGAAAUACCACCCUUUAAUGUUUGAUGUUCUAACGUUGACCCGUAAUCCGGGUUGCGGACAGUGUCUGGUGGGUAGUUUGACUGGGGCGGUCUCCUCCUAAAGAGUAACGGAGGAGCACGAAGGUUGGCUAAUCCUGGUCGGACAUCAGGAGGUUAGUGCAAUGGCAUAAGCCAGCUUGACUGCGAGCGUGACGGCGCGAGCAGGUGCGAAAGCAGGUCAUAGUGAUCCGGUGGUUCUGAAUGGAAGGGCCAUCGCUCAACGGAUAAAAGGUACUCCGGGGAUAACAGGCUGAUACCGCCCAAGAGUUCAUAUCGACGGCGGUGUUUGGCACCUCGAUGUCGGCUCAUCACAUCCUGGGGCUGAAGUAGGUCCCAAGGGUAUGGCUGUUCGCCAUUUAAAGUGGUACGCGAGCUGGGUUUAGAACGUCGUGAGACAGUUCGGUCCCUAUCUGCCGUGGGCGCUGGAGAACUGAGGGGGGCUGCUCCUAGUACGAGAGGACCGGAGUGGACGCAUCACUGGUGUUCGGGUUGUCAUGCCAAUGGCACUGCCCGGUAGCUAAAUGCGGAAGAGAUAAGUGCUGAAAGCAUCUAAGCACGAAACUUGCCCCGAGAUGAGUUCUCCCUGACUCCUUGAGAGUCCUGAAGGAACGUUGAAGACGACGACGUUGAUAGGCCGGGUGUGUAAGCGCAGCGAUGCGUUGAGCUAACCGGUACUAAUGAACCGUGAGGCUUAACCUU